This 5567-nucleotide long non-coding RNA is filed under the name Capsicum annuum. RNAcentral's name for it is "long non-coding RNA (CANN_LNC012817)". The record is from RNAcentral. Lineage: Eukaryota; Viridiplantae; Streptophyta; Magnoliopsida; Solanales; Solanaceae.
GCCACCUGCUCAAUGACUGUGGCGUUGUAAAUGAGGUUCUUUUCGUCCUCAGAGACAUAAUUGUCCCACCAAUGUUUGAGCAUACCGGUGAAACCCGAGACAACCAUGGUGGCGGCUCCUUUGUCAGAGGAACCUUUGAUUUUGUAGGCUGUGAUGGCCACUGCAACCUCAUGGAGUUUAUUGUAGAUCUGAUGCUCAGCCAGACCAUCAAUAUUCCAUUCGGUUAUGCCUCGUCCAUCAUGAUUAGAUGUGGAGAGGUAAGGGUUCUCCUCAAACUGGACAUCAGGGGGAGAAGGUUUACGAUAGUAAUUUUUUCUAGUUGAAAAUCGAUCACUAGAAAGUUUAGAGAGAGAGUUCUUUUCCUUAGAACCGGAGGAAUCUUUAGAGCUAGAGGGCUCUUGAGAGAUUUUGAACUUGGUGAGUUUGGAGUUGAUUUUUUCCAAAAUUUGUUCUGACAAUUUAAAAUCGUCAUUCAGAUCUGGGAAUUUAUCUUUGCGAAACUCUGGGAGUUUGAAGAUAGGGUUGGAAAGAGGUUGAGAGCAUGGAGUGCUCUUGGUUGGUAAUGGGGCAGAAAGAGGAGGACUCUUAGCGUCCUCUAUCUGCUGAGAAAUGGUGUGAAGAACUUGAUUAGUAUAAUUGUUUUGUUCAAUUAUUCUAUCAAGAUCUUUACAUUGAGGUGUCAUUGAUCCUCGUUCAGAUUUAGUCUUAAAAGGAGAAGCUUUAAUGACUUCGUUGGAGUAGGAAAUAUUAAGUCCUUCCAGCGGAGGAGUUGUGGAUUCGACCACAGUGUUCCGCUGAGUAUACCAUUUGGUAACGAUAGCGUUGAGAGAGUCGGUUUGGUUUUAUAAUCUUCCCGUUUUUUCAAACCAGAAGAAGAAUUCCAUAUCGCAUCGGAGUCUUUUCAUGUCGGCUAUCCAUAGCCUUCCAAACUCCUUCUGUUCUUCCGGGGAGUAAGUACUUCCGUACCAUCUCCUUUUAAGAGUGUCUUUUGGAUGGUUCCAUCGGACCUUCAAGGCCUGUAGAUUUGGAACAUAUUCGUCAUUAUUAGAACGAAUAACGAAGAGGCUCGGGUCGGUUUGGACCCUUUGGGGUGGAGCCAUUUCGGAGGCCGAAGGGCUUCCCGGCUCGUAAAGGUUUUCAGGUUCUUUGACCUUAGUGUUUUGGUAAUAGACUUUAGGGAUCGGACCAGAGUAGUCAACUCCUCUAAUCGUUCCCUUGUCAUUGGUGCCUUCGUGAUCGUUAUGUUCACGUUCUAUCUUUGAAGAAGAGGCACAAGUGGAAACAGACCUUCGAGAGGAAGAGAGUCGAGAAGGGUCGACUCCUAGGAAUUUAAGAUCUAUGGAUCCAUCAGGAUGUUGAAUUACCCUUUCGAUUUGAGAUCGUUCGGAGUAACUCCGGACAGGUUGAGUGAUAGCCUCAAAGUGCCAAUCAUUACUAUGGAUGAUAUCGUCCAAAACUAGAGCCUUCGGAACAAAGACUGUGCUACGGUCUUUGUUUGCUUCCAUUAGGGUGGUGACCCCUUUAGGGCUCGUGAAUCUAGCUUUCGGAGCUAGGGUAGUACCCAUAAGUCGAUAAUAUACACGGUAUAUAAUCGCUAUUUCUCGUGUAUUAUCCUUACUGUUCAUGUUUUUAGUUUUAACAUUUAGUGUUAAAACAUCCAUGAUGUUAGGAUCAUUUAUAUCCACAGAGAAAUUUGGGUAGCAAUUAAAGUAAACCGGGCCGUCGGCGAGGUUACUUUGAAUUACUCCUAAGAGAGAAUCGUCAAAAUUCAGUAGACGAGCAUCUCUUAGAAGAGCACAGACAGGAAUAUCUAAUCCUUGUCGAAAAAGAGGCUUAAUAGCAACUUGUACUAAUCCAACAUGAAGAUAAUUAAACUGAUUUUUGAAUCUGUUUAUAUCUAAUUCGUUGAAUAGUUGGAUAAUUUCUAAAGAAUAAUUAAUAGCGACAGUAGACUCAGAGGUCUUGAUGUUAUGUUUUUUCAAAAAACUAAAUUUUCCUAUUUGGUAAAUAGUAUUGAAAGAUUCUUCUGGAAUACUCCAGUUUUGAAGAUCGUUUUCAAUAGUAGCAAUCGGAGUUGCUGAAGAAGAAACAUUAGAGGAGUUGACUACUCUGGUCCGAUCCCUAAAGUCUAUUACCAAAAUCUUUAGUCAAAAAUCUCCCCUGCUUAGGUAUUCCCAAUCCUAAUGCCUUUAUGAUUGUAGAAACCGAUGCUUCAGGAUUCCUCCGUAUCCUAUAUCUGAAGCAUCGGUUUCUACAAUCAUAAAGGCAUUAGGAUUGGGAAUACCUAAGCAGGGGAGAUUUUUGACUAAAGAUUUAAUCUUUAUUAUGGCUUUGGUUUGGUCUGAACUCCAAGGGACUGGGUUCUUUCGGAGACGCUUAUAGAGAGGUUCACAGACCUGUCUAAUAUUGGGGAUGAAAUCAGCUACAUAAUUGAGGCUUCCUAGAAACCUCUGGAGUUGAGUUUUAUCAGUGAUUUCAUCAGGAAACUUGGAAGAGAACUCUAUAGCUCUACAAAUGGGUUUUUGACUCCCUUGAUGCAGAUCAUGCCCUAGAAAGCGAAUAGAAGUUUGAAAAAGCUUCAUUUUUCUAGCACUUAUUACCAAGCCAUUUAGUUUAACAAUCUUAAAGAAAGUAUUGAGAUGCUUGAAAUGAGAAUCAAUGUUUUCAGAAAAGAUUAGUACAUCAUCAAUGUAGACGAUUGUCAUAUAAGAAUAAUCAUUAAAAAUGUUAUUCAUAAUAUUCUGAAAUUCAGAGGGGGCAUUUUUUAAUCCGAAUGGUAAGACAUUCCAUUCAUAGUGUCCAAAAGGAACAUUGAAGGCUGUCUUGUAUUUAUCUUUUUCAGCAAUCUGAAUUUGCCAGAAACCGGAUUUCAUAUCAAAUUUGCUAUAAAGAUUAGCUUUAUAGGUUCUUUUAAGAAGAUCCCUUUUGUUAGGAAUAGGGUGCCUGAUCCACUUUAGGACCGCAUUCAGGGGUUUAUAAUUUAUUACAAGUCUGGGAGUUCCUCGCUCCUUUUCAGCACUAUUAUUUACAUAAAAUGCUGAGCAACUCCAUGGGGAGUUAGAGGGUCUGAUUAUUCCCUUUUCGAGAAGAUGAUUGAUUUCUGUUUUACAGAUUUCCAUCAUUUCAUGAUUCAUUUGGAUUGGUCUGGCUUUAGUAGGGAUGUUUUGUUCAUCGAAGCCAGGGAUGUAAGGAAUUUCGACGAGAUGUUUUUUGCGUUCCCAAAAGGCGUUUGGCAAUUCGGAGCAAAUCUCGUCUUCGAACUUCUUUUGGAGAGUAGCUAUCUUACUAAUCAUCUCCGGGGUUUUUAAAGUUUGCUCAAUACGUUUGAUCUGGACAUCACCUUGCAGGUAGUGAAGGUGAGAAGAAAGACGAUGAAGUUUAAAAAUGGUUUCGUCUUUAAUGCGCUGCUGUUCGUUAGAAGAGAGCGGACGGAGUAAAGGGAAAAAUAACUCAGUAUCCAACAAAGUGGUACGAAUACCAUCGUAGUUACUUUGGUAAGGUCGGAUCUAGUUGAUAAAAGGAAUUUCGAGAAUGAUAUCUUCGGUGAUAUCUUCAGUUAUGACAAAGUCAUUAAUAAGGCAAACGCCAUUAUUACAGACGUGGGCUUUGCGAAGUUGAUAAUCAAUUCGCAUUUUUUCGCCUGUGGCAGAAUAUAGUCGUGAGGUACUCUUUUGGAGGUACCGAGUGGGUAUGAGGCCUUUGACAAUGCAGUUACUGUCGGCACCGGUGUCAAAAAGGGCGACUUUGUUUAUAACAAAGUCUUUAUCGAUGACGAUGUUUACGACGAUGUGCUCACUGUAGGCCUUGAUGGCUGCUACUGUGGUAGAGGUGGAAGGAGUUGCAGAAACUUCUUCUCCGGGAAAAGAGGUGGGUUCUUGGAGAUGAUCAGUCGGGAUGCUGAUCUGUGGUGGUGAGGGCGUAAGAAGAGGAGCCUUUGGUGAAGCUGAUUGUAAGACUUGUUCUGUUAGAACAUGUAAUUCUAUCUGAUCAAGUCGGGUCUUAAGGUUUUUGAUUUCUCCUUUCAAAAGGGAGAUUUCACCCUUAAGUUCUGCUACAGAGGGUUCAGAAGGAGAAUUAAAUUUAGCCAUAACCUUUUUCAUAGAGAAAGGCUAGAUAAUAGGUUUUGGUUUUGAAGUACCUUCAUCUUGAGAAAGCAUCAUUCGCUUGAGCUCUUGAAGGUAUGUAUUUCGCAGUUCCUCGUUGUCAAUAUGUUCGAUAAUAUCGAACAAGACUUCUUUGGAUUUGUCAGUUCCAUUGCACUCGCAGUCUUGUCCGGAUUGAGAGCUGUCAGACUCAUAAGCGGCGUUGAUGAAAUCUUCGUCGCUAUAUUCAUCUUCUGAAGAAGAAUAAGAGUCAGAUGCGUCAGAGGGGUCUUCCAUGAUAGAGAAGAGUUUUUCUUUGGUGUCAUCAGGUAGAUCGAGGAGAUUGAUCUUUUCCUUUUUACCUGAUGUACAAUCCUUUGCCCUAUGGCCUGUUUUACCGCAAGUCCAGCAGGUAUCUUUGGAUUUGGUAAAAGAUUUACGCCUGGUUUUACAGCGAGGUUUAUUCGAUUCCUUAUAAGCACCGGAUUCCCUAUAGGAAGUCUUUCUUUUCGGGUAAGACCUUUUGUGACGUUUUGGGGGCAUCCGUUUAUGCCGCCUACUGUCUUGGAGGUCUGUAAAGCCGUAAUCUUGGCAGAAAGUUGUCAGACCAUAUUUGUGAUUCUGCUUAAGUUGUUGUUUAAGCUUAAGGUCUGUACAGAGUUCUAUACCCGUUGUGGUGAUGAAACUUACUAAGUCUCCAUAGGUGAGAACGUUGUAAGGAAUUUGACCUUCGAAUCUAUCCUUAAGCUUUGUCCGGACUUUGUCUGCAAAUAAUGGGGGAAGACCACUAAUGAAUCUUUCUUUCCAAAAGUCAUUAUUGCAAUCAGGACGGAUCAUAACUUUGAUCAGGAAGGUAUCCUUAUACCAUCUGAAGUCUGCUAGAUUUUUGCAGCGAAGAUUAUUAAGGAUUUCCAGACUUCUAUCUUGGAAGAGUUUUGGUUCUCCUACAAAAUGUCUAGCUAUGUGGUAUAGGAGAGUUGCACAAGCAUCUUCUUGUGCUUCUUGGACUAUGGUUUCUCGACCAUCUACUGUUCUAGCCACUUGCUCAAUGACUGUGGCGUUGUAAAUGAGGUUCUUUUCGUCCUCAGAGACAUAAUUGUCCCACCAAUGUUUGAGCAUACCGGUGAAACCCGAGACAACCAUGGUGGCGGCUCCUUUGUCAGAGAAACCUUUGAUUUUGUAGGCUGUGAUGGCCACGGCAAUCUCAUGGAGUUUAUUGUAGAUCUGAUGCUCAGCCAGACCAUCAAUAUUCCAUUCGGUUAUGCCUCGUCCAUCAUGAUUAGAUGUGGAGAGGUAAGGAUUCUCCUCAAACUGGACGUCAGGGGGAGAAGGUUUACGAUAAUAAUUUUUUCUAGUUGAAAAUCUAUCACUAGAAAGUUUAGAGAGAGAGUUCUUUUCCUUAGAACCGGAGGAUUCUUUAGAGCUAGAGGGCUCUUGAGAGAUUUUGAACUUGGUGAGUUUGGAAUUGAUUUUUUCCAAAAUUUG